RNAcentral lists this transfer RNA (88 nucleotides) under Bauldia sp. RNAcentral describes it as "tRNA-Tyr". It matches the Rfam family "tRNA". Rfam says of the family: Transfer RNA (tRNA) molecules are approximately 80 nucleotides in length. Their secondary structure includes four short double-helical elements and three loops (D, anti-codon, and T loops). Lineage: Bacteria; Pseudomonadati; Pseudomonadota; Alphaproteobacteria; Hyphomicrobiales; Kaistiaceae. The record is from RNAcentral.
GGGGGAGUGUCCCGAGCGGCAAAGGGNNGGGCGGACUGUAAAUCCGCUGGCUUAGCCUUCGUAGGUUCGAGUCCUACCUCCCCCACCA